Molecule: long non-coding RNA, 358 nt
Organism: Polypterus senegalus (gray bichir)
Lineage: Eukaryota; Metazoa; Chordata; Cladistia; Polypteriformes; Polypteridae
Exons: 3
Source: RefSeq, a predicted model, not a curated record
UCUUCUAUACUUUCUAAGGAUGUGUGGUUCUUCCCUGGUGAAUUUGAAUUUUUAUCAGGAAAUGAAAAUUCAAAAAAUUGGAAGAAGAGCAUAUACAUUGAUAUGAAAAAGCUUAAGAAAUAUUUAAAAAUGUCUGAUGCCGAACUAAGCAAAUUUAGGAAGAUAACUCUCAAUGACCUGUUUAAGCAAAGGGCUGUAAAACCUCCAUGUCAGAAAAUGCGUCCUGAAAUCAUCAGGUAAGAAUUUAAUCAUUUCACAUCCUUUUAAAAUCUGUAAAAGCUGUAGAAUGUUUAUAGAAUUUCUACAUUUUUUGAUUACUGGAGUCAGCAUUUCCCAGUCCAGAUUCUAUCACACUGAA